This 86-nucleotide transfer RNA is filed under the name Pirellula staleyi DSM 6068. Its description in RNAcentral is "tRNA-Leu". It matches the Rfam family "tRNA". Rfam says of the family: Transfer RNA (tRNA) molecules are approximately 80 nucleotides in length. Their secondary structure includes four short double-helical elements and three loops (D, anti-codon, and T loops). The record is from RNAcentral. Lineage: Bacteria; Pseudomonadati; Planctomycetota; Planctomycetia; Pirellulales; Pirellulaceae.
GCCAGAGUGGCGGAAUGGCAGACGCGCUGGAUUCAAAAUCCUGUGUCCGCAAGGGCGUGUGGGUUCGACUCCCACCUCUGGUACUA